ACCAAAACAAUUCAUACCAGGAGGCAGAGGCUGAAUGAAGGCUCCGUAGGCAUGCCACACCUGCCCUGUGCUAAGCCCCUGCUCAGUAGCAGGAGCUUCUCAAAAAUGACAUAGCUUCUAUCCUGGCCAACUAUUUUAGACCUUCUUUGAAACAAGGUAAAGUAAAGAAGCAUCGUGGCUCAGGCCUGUAGCUCCUGCUGGUGUGGAGGUUGAAGCAAGUGAAUUGUCUACAUUAAGUCUCUCUUUCUGUGCUAUGACUUGGGAAAUCCACCUAGCCCUAUGUUCAGUUUCAAGUUGCAGAGGUGAUCCUUACCAGAGUGGGAAUUGGAGCCAUGGAGACCUUGGAGCCAGAAUUUCAGAUGAGAUAUUACAGCCUGCCAGCCUGGCAGGGAAGCCCUGAGAAGCCAGGGUACCUGGGACUCUAGUCCAAGGAAGGUUUUGGACUUGGAAACUGGGAAUGUGCUCUAUAGGAAUUGAAUUUAGCUACAAACCUAAUCCCCUACCCCUCCCUAGAGACUCAGGUGGUGAAAGUACAGAGGAGAAUUAAGCUCCAUGUGUUGAGGAGUAAAUUUUAUGUUUGAGAUAAUACGUUUGGAAAUGAAUAUUCCUUUGUGAAAACGAAUCUGUUAGUGGUUAAAUGGAACUGAGAUGCUGGGGACUCCUACAAUUUGGAGAACACCAUCAAUGGGGGCUGGACCCAAUGGCAGAAAAUUUAGAUGUCUCCCAAUCUGCCUUGAUGGUAUCAGAAUACUCUGGGGGAAGAAUGAAAUUUAAUUCAUCUGGCCUCCCAGGAAAUGAGGUCGAAGGGGGGUGAAUGUUACACAUUGAGACCUUGUCUGGGAUAAAAUUGGGCCCUUUGCUUUGCAGAGAGUUGAUUUUUUUUUUUGAGAUACCCUACACUGGUGUUCUCCCAAUUAUAGGGGGCCAUCCCUGGCUUUUGUCAAUGAGGCUACUGCCAUCCUCAUGUAGGAUGGGAGGGGACCCCUUCCAAGAGAAGGGUUACUCCAUGUUAUGUGAUCUGAGAAUACUCCAAAAACCCCUUAUACAUAUAUAACCAAAAGCUAUUUAUUCCAUAAUAGGUUAGUGAUCAAAGGAUAUGAAGAAACGGUUGCCUGAAAGAUUGCUCUGGAUCAUGAAUAAUAAAAUAAAUUCAAAUAAAAACAACCUUGAGGUUUCACUUCAGAACCAGCAAACUGUCAAAGAUGACAAAAGAUAGGAAUAGUCAAUUCUGGAUGGAGUUGCAUGAAAAUAGGCAUAUUACUGCCUUGUUGAUGGAAUGUGAAUCAGUAUAAAUAAUUUGGAAUUAUGAAAAUAAAAUGACCAAAAUGUACAUACCCUUUGACUGAGAGAUUCCACUAACAGGCUUAUACCCUAUGGAGGUCAUUGAUGAGAAGAAAUAAACACAAAAACAUUUAUAGAGGCACUUUUUGUAGUAGCAAAGAAUUAAAAACAAA
Vombatus ursinus (common wombat) is the source of this 1454-nucleotide long non-coding RNA. RefSeq lists it as uncharacterized. Lineage: Eukaryota; Metazoa; Chordata; Mammalia; Diprotodontia; Vombatidae. The record is from RefSeq and is a predicted model, not a curated record. The transcript has 3 exons.